UGAAUUAAAGCCCUUGUCACAAGCUUUAUUUACUUAAAUGCAAUUUAUUCACUAUGGCUGGAAUUACCACCUAUUGUUUUAAUUUAUUUAUUGUACUUAUCUUUUGUUACGAUGAGUAUAACAAGGACUUGAAGUUCCUUGAUCAGAUCAUAACCUGCAAUGUCUUGAUCCUCAUCAUAUAAAAAUGAUUGUGACACCCCGAUCUGGAGGAUCCAGGUGUGCUAGCCGUCACGUGGGCGUGACGUAACCAUAGGCACGACACGGAAGCAAAACAAUAACAAAAAUCAGCUGAAAUUCAAACCAAACUUAAACAUAUCAACCUACGAACAUAACCGGACGAGUUAUACUACAAAUACAUAAGUUCAGAGCAUAGGUAACUGCAGUCAAGUAGGACUAAAAUAAGAAUACAUCACCCUCAGGUGAGUCCUACAUGUCGAGGGUCUGUCAGAAAGCCGGAAAAGGACCUCGUGAGCCACCCACCGCUAAACUAGAACCUGGAGGGGCGCAAAACAAAAUGAGUGGGUCAGUAAAAUCAAAUAGUUUUCCAAAACAGUUCAUUCAAACAUUUUUAUCCCCUCGCCGUAAAAACCUGUAUACUUUCCCAGAAAAUAGUAUAUAAACAUAUAUAUAUGCAAUCUCCUAACUCAACACACAUUCAUCAUCAUAAUAUCUCAGAAAUGAUAUGUCAUGCCCAAAAUAUAAUCAGAAUGUAUCAAUAUCAAUCAGGUGAAUAAUAAGUCAACCGGAGACCCUAAUGGUCUUGUACGGCUGAUUCUAAAGCUCAACAUCCAAUCUAACCGGAGUCACCUCGGUGACCUGUACGGUCUAACUCUGCAUGUCACUCGGAACUACAUAAGGUAGUCUGUACGACGACAGGUGUAUAAAUACGCUAUAGUGCUUCUCACAUCAAUCAUCAGCGCGCAUAUCUAAGGUCACCCACCAGUCGGAACCCCUCUAAUGGUCUGUACGACUGGCAUGUCGGAACCCUCACAUGGUCUGUACGACAUCCACCUACUUGGAUCCAAGACGAGCGUGCGGUGUGGUGAAUAACAAUAUAAGCACUAUCACCUAGGUGCAGGUUAUGAGCUUUCAAUGCAAUUCAUAUAAGUAACUCAGCUGGAAAUAAAUAAACUCACCUGAGCGUCCACCGCGUCAUUUCACGCACAUAUAUAUCAAUUAUCAAAUCCAAUAUUUCGAUAUUUUCAUGCAUGGCAAUUUAAAUUCAUAAAACUCGUAUUUUCUGGGAAAAUAAAUGUAUAUAGGUAAAUACGAAAUCAAAACUGCCCACUCACUGAUAAGUCGACGGGUCGUAACCCCUGUGGCGUCCCUGGAUGCGGUCGUCCUCGGGAUACGUCUCACCUAUAUGCGAAACAACUAUAAAAAUGUUAAUUUUAAACACAUCACCAAUAUCUCGAAAUAACUUCUCAUACGAUGCUCAAUUUGGGUAUAUGAAUAUACCACAUCGACCUACUCGACGUCACGAGCGUCGGGAAAUUUUUAGAAAAAAAUUUGGAGGGCUCACGCGCCCCCACGCG
RNAcentral lists this long non-coding RNA (1535 nucleotides) under Malus domestica (apple). Its description in RNAcentral is "long non-coding RNA (MDOM_LNC017234)". The record is from RNAcentral. Lineage: Eukaryota; Viridiplantae; Streptophyta; Magnoliopsida; Rosales; Rosaceae.